Molecule: long non-coding RNA, 1103 nt
Filed under: Homo sapiens (human)
Lineage: Eukaryota; Metazoa; Chordata; Mammalia; Primates; Hominidae
Description: non-protein coding lnc-NBPF14-7:1
Source: RNAcentral
AUUCUUCAUAUAUUUUGGACAGCAGUUUUUCCAUCAGAUUAUUUUGUAAAUAUUUUCUCCCAGUCUGUGACUUGCUUUUUCCAUUCUCUUAACAGUGUCUUUCACACAACAGAAGUUUUUAAUUUUAAUGAGGCUCAACUUAAUUUUUUUUUCAUUAGUAGAUUGUGCUUUUGGUUUUGUAUCUAAGAAGCCAUCAUUGAACCCAGGAUCCCUCAGAUUUUCUCCUAUUUUAUCUCUUAGGAUUCUUAUGGUUUUGCACCUUACAUUUACGUGUAAGAUUUAUUUUAUAAAGGGUAUAUAACAUGCAUACCUGGAUUUAUUUAUUUUUUUGCAUGUGGUUGUCCAGCUGUUCUAGCACCACUAGUUGGAAAGGCUAUCUUUGCUGUUUUAAAUUGUCUCUAAACCUCCAUGGAAGAUCAGUGGACUGUAUGUAGGCCUGCUUCUGGGCUCCGUAUUCUUUUCCAUGCAUCUAUAUGUGUGUGUUUUCUCUUUUCACCAACUUCACACUAUUUGGGUUACUGUAGCUUAAUGUAAGUCCUGAAGUUGGUAGUGCCAAACCUCAGGGAGUUUUUCUGAACUUCAUCAUGAGAACCUGGUUGAGAUCAUUGUAGUAACACUUGGAAAUGUGUGAGAUUCCCCCUUAGUCUGGUCUUCAAGGUGUUUUUAAUGUUCUAGCCAGGCUACCCUCAGCUUCUAGUAAUCUGUCAAUAUCAUUUAAGUGCUCCUCCCACUUGCUGUCCCCAGUAGCUUCUCUUCCCUGUGAGCUGUGACUCCUUGUGUGUUAGCCUGUGUUUCUCAUUUUUAAGGUGGCAGUUUUCCCUGUGACCUCAAUUCUCUGAUCCACCCUAGAAGGGUUGACUUUCAGUUUGUUCAGCUUUUUUCUAGCUGUGAGGACAAGUGAUGACUGCCUAGCUCUUUCCAUGUUGAAAUAGAAACCUAAAAGUUUGUUUAAAGAAUUACUUGUUAUAAAAGUCCCCCAUUGUUAAUGUACAACUCAAUGAUGUAAGUUGAUUUAUCGAAUUGUGCAGCCAUCAGCAGAGUUCUACUUCAGCAUAUUUUGUCACUUCCCAAAUUCCCUUGAACCUGUUUGUAGUCAUUUCCUA